CCGACAUAUAAAUUGUUGGUGAGAUGGUAUACUACCAGAACUACAAUUGGCUAUUGCUCCGAUUCAAAUGUUAUACAAUGUUCACCUCUUAUCCACACACAAGAUCAAGAACACAUAUUGCACAAUCAUUGAUCACAGAUUCAAACUCAAGUCAAUCUUGACAAAGCAAAGUUUGGCCAUCUUGGCAAACAUCUAGAAAACACAAGUCACAUAAAAGGACCCUUGUUUGAUGGUCUAAAAGAGUUCAAACACUAAAUGGUCCAAACACUUAAGUCACAUCCACAGGAUUUCUACUCCAUAUCACUUGAACACCAAAUGGUCCAGAACACAAAUAAGAUUCAUGAUUACAAUUAAGUUGGAUGAUCCAAAAUACUGCGGUCAACCAAAUGCUCCAUAACACUCCAAAGUCAUCACAUCCAUGAAUACUAGGUGGCUGAUUACCUGAAAAUAUUACACAAGAAUUUGGUAGAAAGUGCAGUCAGCUCAAGUUAUUCGAAGCUCAUAGGGAGAUUGGCAGCCAAGAGAAGCACAAGAGUAUUCAUGACAUAUGCCCAGAACACAUAUAACAUAGUUCUGCCAUAUGUGAUGUAAAAUAUUUUUAAAAUGCUGAAAGGAAUCAUCAUGCAAACAUAUCUACAUAUACAUAGAGUAAGCAUUUCUCCAUGGCAGGCAUAUCUAUAGAUUCUAUUCAACCUCUUACAUGGAAGAAACUGUAGUAGGAUCAGCCAGUGUAAAGUUGUAUUUGUUCUAAUACGAAGUUAGCUCAAAUAUGGAGGCUAUGGGUCAAAUUCUCAUAUGUCCCAACUGAAUGGGACUACAAACAUGUGAUUGUUACUCGCGUGUACAUAUGAGGAAUAUGUGUGGGUGCCCCAUAACCAUUUUACCUACUUCAAAGUUCGAAAAUAAUUGUGUUCGCACGUUAUCUCAUGAAGUAGAACUAAUAUGUACAACUUCAGACCAAAAAACUGUAGGAUGUGCAGUUUAGUUUAUGCCACUAGUCAUCAACCCUACACAGGCUAGCUACCAUCGUUUUCAUGAAUGUGUUAGUAUAUACUUAGAAAUUACAGAAUUUAGAAAUAUUUUAGUAGCAUACAACUGAGAUGAUACUCAUGGCAUUGUUGUUUAAUGAUGAAAACUGAACGAACAUUAUUUGUACGCACCGGCUAAUGUGGUGCAUCCACUUAGGUUGCGUGCACCAUGCGAUCAAGGUUUAUUUCUCCCGUGCAAAAAAGAAAUAGUUGGCAUGUCUCUAAGUAUACCUUCGUUUGAUGGCAUAAAUCAUAACUUCUAUAUCCAGUGCAAUGAUUUAAUUAACUAUUCUCAAUAUCUCAUGGCUCAAAAGGACCUCAGAAAAUAAAUUAUGAUCAAGUUGAUUCUUUAAUAUAGUUAGUCCUACUAUGUUAAUAUGUGAAAACUGAUGAAAAGACUCCAGCAUAAACUCAUUUUUAUGAAACAAUAACCUUUUUUCAAAAUAUAAACAGUAAACAAUUAUAUAGAUUUAUUCCAAGACACUUUCAAUUUUUUUCAGUUUGGUUAUAUCAAUAUAACUAAGCAAGUCAAUAGAAACUAAUGAAACUUGUAAACCCAAACAAAUAGGGUAUUAUAAAUUGAACACCAAUAAAAAAUAGAGGAUACUAAAGUUCCUAAAUUAGUACUCCCUCCGUCCCAAAAUAAGUGACUCAACUUAGUACUAACUUUGUACUAGAGCUAGUACAAAGUUGAGUCACUUAUUUUGGGACGGAGGGAGUACAUCACAACGGUAAAGUAAAUGUUGUUAUAAAAAUAGUAUCUUGCUUUCACGCACAUUGCCAUAGUAAUGCUACAACUACAUGUCACACAUACCUUUGUUACCUAUUGCCAUUGGCAUUGAAAAUAUGUGACUGAAUUGAAGUAUUAUUUAGAAGACCACAUAUACAUAGAGUAAACUAGAAAGAGGAAAUUUUCAUACAAGUAAAGAAAAUUAAACAACAUGGUUUACAAUUUAUCACCCUUGAGAUCAAACUUACAAAUCUGAAUUAGAUGCAUCAUAAUAAUUGGAAAUAUUUAUCACAUCUGCCGCUAACUGAAAAACUUAAACACAUUACUCAUUAAAGUUGUAGCUGCAAAACCAAAAUGUCAAAAAUAAUAUUAACUCCUUCCCAAUUUACUUGUUUUAGAUAGUGUUAGAUUCAUUGGUAUCUAGAAAAAUUGAAGAAGAGUAAUUCGGGACGGAUGGAGUACAAACAUUUUAUUUAGACAGCUACUAAAAAGUAAGGAUUAUUGAAAGUUGUUUAUCAAAAGUUGUAGGACGACGCAAACCCCACUAUACAGACUCACCGGUUAAUAAAAGAAGAUAGAGAUACACACAUUCAUGCCCAGAUGUGAAGCGCAACACAUCAAUCUUGCUAGGAACGCACCAAUCAAACUAGCUUCAGCCGUCAGGCCUGUCUGCAACCAUAUGGGAACAAAGAAAAAAGUGAAGAUUCAAUGAUAAGCACCGGAGACUAUGGAGAACUAUUAUGGGAAGAACAAAGUAAAUGGGUCUGGAUCUGUUAUCUCACUAUGCGCAAAGCGCUUGCAUGUCAUCCUUUCCCAAACACCAUCGAUCUGUUCUUUUUCCCUUGCAAGAGACGCAUGACGGACGCUGAUGAAAAGUUCAUAGAUUAUGGUAGACAGAUUAGUUGAGCAAGAUCAAUUUAGUAGGAUCUUGGGUGGUGUCGCUUAAGCAGAGAAACUGGUCGAGCCUCAAGCGACAUAGCACAUGGCCGGGGGAGAUUUUUACCGCUACGUACGUACUGGUAGCGCACAUGAAGAAGGCGGGUUCAGGUUAUUUCCAAUCAGACCACUUUAUCCAAGGGCUACUAAUCUGUCCACCAUAAUCUAUGAAUUUUAUCCAAGGUCUAUGAGAAAAGUGGUACUCUAGAUUUUUUACUAAUUCUAGCAAUAUCAUCUGUAUAGCUGGUUACACAUGCAAUCUAGACCGACAUUUCAGAAACUUGCAAUCUUAUAAUUCAGACAUUUGAAGUAACCCAUCCCUGUAGUCAUCGAUCUGACCAACAAAUUAGAAACUGAAAUAAAAUAAGGUUGGAUUGUGCACUUCUCAGUAGCACCACAGAUCCAACAAGUAACCUUCGUAAUGCCACAGCCUAAUCUUAAACAAAGGGACUGACUAACUAAGCAGGGAUCAGUUUAGGUUCAGACUAACAACAUGUUCAAUCACUCCAACGUAGCUACCAACAAUACAGCUCACAGGUUGAAGCAAACUAGCAGGUCGAUCUAUGAGAGACACAGGAUGUUGCUCGUGUUUGGAAGAACAACCGCGGAUGCCAUCAUCGACCCUUUACCUAGCAAAGAACAGUUCAUCUGGCCUGCGUACAUGAAGGAGGGAGAGAGCCGACAGCUAUUCUGAGGACGACCUGCGACCAGGUGUGUGGCACCUAGCACAUGACGGGGAACGCACCUCGAAGGCCACCGGCUGCCCACCAAUGAAACGGGCCUGCGGCUGAUAAAUCUGGACAAGGGUCUUUGCGGGAGAGAAAAGGGGCGGCGGCGGCAGAAGCAGGGGCCGGGGAUGUGGAGCUCGAGGUCGGGGGAUGUGGUCGAGGGCGGGGGUUAGGGCGGCGGGCGGACGGAGGUCGGCGUCGGAGCUAUCACCGCCGGCGGCAGGGACAGGGGGUGGCGCGAGAGGGUGGCGGCGGAGGAGAUGUGGGGAUGAAGCUGGUGUUAUUUGGGUUGGGUCUCAGAUUCAGG
RNAcentral lists this long non-coding RNA (3729 nucleotides) under Triticum aestivum (bread wheat). RNAcentral describes it as "long non-coding RNA (TAES_LNC010353)". Lineage: Eukaryota; Viridiplantae; Streptophyta; Magnoliopsida; Poales; Poaceae. The record is from RNAcentral.